Molecule: ribosomal RNA, 298 nt
Filed under: uncultured eukaryote
Lineage: Eukaryota
Description: partial 18S ribosomal RNA
Rfam family: Eukaryotic small subunit ribosomal RNA
Source: RNAcentral
CCCUUAGAUGUUCUGGGCUGCACGCGCGCUACAAUGUCAUGAAAACCGGGAUGCUUUAACGAAAUUUAUUGCGAAACCCCAACUCAUGACGCGACUGGGAUUGACGUUUUUAAUUAUUCGUCAUGAACGAGGAAUUCCUAGUAAACGCGAAUCAUCAGUUCGUGUUGAUUAUGUCCCUGCCCUUUGUACACACCGCCCGUCGCUCCUACCGAUUGAGCGUUUUGGUGAGCACUCUGGAGUGCAGCAAUGCAUAAAUGAAUGCAAACCUGAGUGUUUAGAGGAAGGAUAAGUCGUAACA